Molecule: ribosomal RNA, 850 nt
Filed under: uncultured bacterium
Lineage: Bacteria
Description: bacterial SSU rRNA
Rfam family: Bacterial small subunit ribosomal RNA
Source: RNAcentral
AUGNGCGNCUACCAUGCAAGUCGAACGGGAAGCUCGUUUUCGGAUGAGCGGAGAGUGGCGCACGGGUGAGUAACACGUAACUGAUCUGCCCUAGAGAGAGGGAUAACUACUGGAAACAGUAGCUAAAACCUCAUAAGCUCACGUUGUUUAGAAAGAUGUGAGAAAAACUGCGGUGCUCUAGGAUGAGGUUGCGUCCCAUCAGCUAGUUGGUGUGGUAAAGGCACACCAAGGCGACGACGGGUAGGGGACCUGAGAGGGUGACCCCCCACACUGGAACUGAGAUACGGUCCAGACUCCUACGGGAGGCAGCAGUGAGGAAUAUUGCACAAUGGACGAAAGUCUGAUGCAGCGACGCCGCGUGGGCGAAGAAGGUUUUCGGAUCGUAAAGCCCUUUUCUAUGUGACGAGAAUGGACGGUAGCAUAGGAAUAAGUGUCGGCUAACUACGUGCCAGCAGCCGCGGUAAAACGUAGGACGCAAACGUUAUCCGGAGUUACUGGGCGUAAAGCGCGAGCAGGCGGUUAAGUAAGUUACCUAUGGAAGCUCUCGGCUAAACUGGGAGAGGAUAGGUGAAACUGCUAAACUAGAGUGAGAUAGAGGCAAGUAGAAUUCCAGGUGUAGUGGUGAAAUGCGUAGAUAUCUGGAGGAAUACCAGUGGCGAAGGCGGCUUGCUGGGUCUCAACUGACGCUGAGGCGCGAAAGCGUGGGUAGCGAACGGGAUUAGAAACCCCGGUAGUCCACGCUGUAAACGAUGUACAUUAGACGUUCGUAUGCCUACGGGUAUAUGAGUGUCGAAGCAAACGCGAUAAAUGUACCGCCUGGGGAGUACGGUCGCAAGGCUAAAACUCAAGG